GACAGAGGGUGCAAACGUUGUUCGGAAUUACUGGGCGUAAAGCGCGUGUAGGCGGCUAAGUAAGUCGGGCGUGAAAUCCCACGGCUCAACCGUGGAAGUGCACUCGAAACUGCAUAGCUAGAGUCCUGGAGAGGAAGGUGGAAUGCUUGGUGUAGAGGUGAAAUUCGUAGAUAUCAAGCGGAACACCGGUGGCGAAGGCGGCCUUCUGGACAGUGACUGACGCUGAGACGCGAAAGCGUGGGGAGCAAACAGGG
Molecule: ribosomal RNA, 254 nt
Filed under: uncultured bacterium
Lineage: Bacteria
Description: partial 16S ribosomal RNA
Rfam family: Bacterial small subunit ribosomal RNA
Source: RNAcentral